AAAAAGAAGAGACGCCAGGGUUCUUUCUCUCUCCACAUGCACACAAAGGAAAGGAUAUGUGUGAACACAGCAAGAAGGUGGCUGUCUGUAAGCCAAAAAGGGAGGCCUCACCAGAAACCAACCCAGCUGGCACCUUGAUCUUGGACAUCCAGCCUCCAGAACUAAGCAAAAACAAAAAAGUUACCAUUUGGAGGUAGAAAUGGUUCACCACAAGACACCCAGAUGGCAAUAGGAUUUCUGAGGAUGAGGAGCUGCAUCUUGCUUUUGUUUCUCAGAGUCUCUCUGGAGAAAGGAUUCAUCUAGAGCCCAUAAAACCAAAUCACGCAAGUAUUGAAUACUAGAGCCGGAAGGAUGUUGGAUCCAAAUUCUUCAGUUCCCUCCCAGGCCUGUCACUGAGUCACUAGGUGACUUUGGGCAUCUGGCUUGUGUUUCUGGCAUUCUCUUGUUUUUGUUUGUUUAUUUGUUUUUUGCUUUCUCUCUGCCAUGGCCAGAGAGAGCCUGGAUUAAAGUAAUAAUACACUAACAUUAUGGAUAGCCUCUGAAUUUUUAACUUUAGGAUGAUUCCACCAUAUGGUGGAAGAUGUUGAUGAAUGGGGAGGGGAAUGGUUGUAGCUUUAAACA
RNAcentral lists this long non-coding RNA (621 nucleotides) under Homo sapiens (human). Lineage: Eukaryota; Metazoa; Chordata; Mammalia; Primates; Hominidae. The record is from RNAcentral.